AAAGUCUCGUCGUAGAAGGUAAACCAGACCACUACGUAGCGAGUCUUGCAUUUCCGGCGGUAACAAGGGAGAUGAAGCGUAGACAGCGAAACAUUCGAGCCGAAAUCAAUAGGUGAACGUGAUAGCGCCGAAAUUCAUUAAGUCGUGUGUGCCGAUAGUUUUGUCCAGCUAGCAGGCAAUAGCGUCUGAAUGGUCAUACUGGUGAACUUCCCAGCCAGAAGCGCACACCGGAGCCGCAGGCGU
Xenorhabdus nematophila ATCC 19061 is the source of this 243-nucleotide non-coding RNA. The record is from Rfam. Lineage: Bacteria; Pseudomonadati; Pseudomonadota; Gammaproteobacteria; Enterobacterales; Morganellaceae.